GGUCAUCAAACUGGAGACAGGACACCCUUGCCCAGUUAGCAUUUUAGUUCAGCUUGCCUGGGUUCUCAUUCCAAAUUCCUGCCCCCAAAUCCUUGGUCACCCCCAAGAGUAGAUCUUUAUCCACAACAGGCCACUGUUGAACCUAAGGUUUCCCAGAGGAAACCAGAAAAGACUUCCCUUAUGUUGGGGUUUUAGGGUACCCAAUAAAUAGGACCCCUCUUUCCUGCCCAACUUCUGAGCCAAUUAAGAGGAAUAGGAAUCAGGCAGAUAGAGGGAAAAUAUCACCAUUCUUUUAAGUUGACAAAGUCUUGGUUGGUGGCUAUCAUUUCAGGUCCUUGGGCUUGUUAAUAUUGUACCACUGAUGGCAAACAGAAACUUUGCAACAUGGAGAUUUACCACUUAAAAGUUAAGGCUUGGAGGGGCAGAGGAUGUUUACUUUCCUCAGGCUCUUCCCAGAGAGAAAGGAAUAGGUGAGGCGUACAUCUUCCAUUGCUUCUCCCAGGCCGACUGAAGUUCCUCUUCCUCCAAUGAAGUGAAGGAGAGAGAGGAUGCAGGCGGCCAGGGGAUUUACUCAAUGGAAACAUGUCCCCAAUAGAAACAAGGACAGCAGGGAACAAAUGUUCCCAUCAGCUACCUACAACAGAUCUUCGUCUACAAUUCUUAUUGUAUCACUGAGAUAAAUUCCCAAAAAGAAACACAUCAGGCCAAAAGACAGAAACAUAUUAAGACUGAGAACACCAACAUCAAAGGUUUAAAAGAUAAAGCUGGAUACAUGGAAAUGUAUUUUCUUUAUUGCCUUUAUUUCUUUUUAACUCGCCUCUGUCUUCACUGGAGAACAUAGGGAGAAAUUCAAGCAAGUAACGGGUGUUCCAGUUCAUCGAGGGUCUGUCAUGAUGGCUUAUGAGGUCAUGACACAGACCCACAGGGAUUGCA
RNAcentral lists this long non-coding RNA (933 nucleotides) under Homo sapiens (human). RNAcentral describes it as "non-protein coding lnc-JARID2-5:1". The record is from RNAcentral. Lineage: Eukaryota; Metazoa; Chordata; Mammalia; Primates; Hominidae.